RNAcentral lists this long non-coding RNA (547 nucleotides) under Anthonomus grandis grandis. RNAcentral's name for it is "uncharacterized LOC126746716". The record is from RNAcentral. Lineage: Eukaryota; Metazoa; Arthropoda; Insecta; Coleoptera; Curculionidae.
AUAUACGGAUUGUACCAGUGGACGUUUUUUUUCAGGUGUGGUCGAAGCCAAUGGACUUACUGCGGUGGUUUUUGGCAAUAGAGAAUUUAUAGGAAACUUCAUUGACUCCCAACACACAUUCAUUGAUGGAACCUUCAAGGCAGUACCGAGAAGACCUAACUUUUGUCAAAUCUUGACCAUAUUUGCCACUUGCAUGGAUCAUGCUUUUCCAGUUGCACAUAUUUUCAUGGAGAGAAGAACGAAAAUCUUGUAUGAUGCUGCUUUUGCCUACCUGCGUGAGAACUUCCCACAAUUUAUCAAUAUUAACGUUGUGACGGACUAUGAGGUGGCUUUGGUGGAAUCACUGAGGAACAACUUUCCCAAUGCCUCAUUGCAUGGUUGUUUUUUCCAUUAUUGUCAGGCGGUAUUACGAAAAGCCAGGACUUUAGGGAUUACACGGCAGAUCGAGGGAUGACCUAAUGGAAGAGUCUUAUUGAAGAAAUACUAUUGUUUGGCGCUUCUACCUGCGGAGAUGAUUGAACCGACAUUAGUUUCCUUGCAGGUUUUU